Molecule: ribosomal RNA, 253 nt
Filed under: uncultured bacterium
Lineage: Bacteria
Description: partial 16S ribosomal RNA
Rfam family: Bacterial small subunit ribosomal RNA
Source: RNAcentral
UACGGAGGAUUCGAGCGUUAUCCGGAUUUAUUGGGUUUAAAGGGAGCGUAGGCGGGUUGUUAAGUCAGUUGUGAAAGUUUGCGGCUCAACCGUAAAAUUGCAGUUGAUACUGGCAUCCUUGAGUACAGUAGAGGUAGGCGGAAUUCGUGGUGUAGCGGUGAAAUGCUUAGAUAUCACGAAGUACUCCGAUUGCGAAGGCAGCCUGCUGGACUGUAACUGACGCUGAUGCUCGAAAGUGUGGGUAUCAAACAGG